This 345-nucleotide long non-coding RNA is filed under the name Anas platyrhynchos platyrhynchos (common mallard). Its description in RNAcentral is "lncRNA (ENSAPLG00000018237.1)". The record is from RNAcentral. Lineage: Eukaryota; Metazoa; Chordata; Aves; Anseriformes; Anatidae.
GACAGAGGCUGCACUCCGUAGCUCCGUCUGCACAGCGAAGUCUGUACGGUGCUUUCCCAAGCCUCUCAUCUGAACAGGAACGGGAGCACGCUGGGUUAUGUGCUGUUCACCGGGGGAGGAAGCAAUCUGCCUGUGGUGACUAAAGGCCUCCAUUCCCCUACCAAGGUCAGCAGAAGCAUCCCCUGCCUUUGGCUACAUCAUAAUUGCAUUAAUAAAGACCGCGGCUCCCAGGGGUAGAGGCUGCAAUUAGAAGCUGUUUCAGAGGUUUCAUUGCUCUCCGUGGUGUUCCACUGCAAGCAGAGAGGCCGCCUGGAUUUAUUGAUGCCAUUCCCUGCCUUUGAACAC